CGUUUGCGUGAGGGAUAGGAGCGGUAUCCUUUUAUGGCGGGGUUCGCCAUAAAAGAUAUAGCGGAUAGCCUCCCGAUAGCUA
This 82-nucleotide small RNA is filed under the name Flavobacterium anhuiense. RNAcentral describes it as "Flavo-1 RNA". The stretch from base 13 to 70 matches the Rfam family "Flavo-1 RNA", at positions 10 to 67 of the family's 76-position model. The record is from RNAcentral. Lineage: Bacteria; Pseudomonadati; Bacteroidota; Flavobacteriia; Flavobacteriales; Flavobacteriaceae.